Molecule: non-coding RNA, 361 nt
Organism: Bemisia tabaci
Lineage: Eukaryota; Metazoa; Arthropoda; Insecta; Hemiptera; Aleyrodidae
Source: RefSeq, a predicted model, not a curated record
UAAAAAACUGAAAUAACGUUAAAAAAUAAAAUGAAAUACAAAAAUUGGAAAAAUGAAUGAACCAAUCGAAGUAUGUAGAUUGAAUAUCCUGGUUUUCCGUUCAAACCGAAGCUAUGUACAGGUUUUUCGGUCAAAAUUCUCAUCAUACUUUAUAUCUCAAUCGUUAGGGUCUUCGGCUAGGGUUAGAUAGGUCCCAGGUCGGAUACGACUACAGCACCUCACAAUAAGUGCUGUAGUCUCAUUUUACUCGAUUUCGAAAUUUAUUCACGCGAUUAACCCUUUUCCACCAUCCCCUAGUUGCGAACCCCGACAUUGCACACCUUUGUAUUCAAUUUUUUUAGCUGUACGUUUCACAAGAAAA